This 87-nucleotide transfer RNA is filed under the name Ustulina deusta. RNAcentral describes it as "Kretzschmaria deusta tRNA-Gly". The record is from RNAcentral. Lineage: Eukaryota; Fungi; Ascomycota; Sordariomycetes; Xylariales; Xylariaceae.
GCUGUGGUGGUGUAAGGGUAACAUCUAAGCUUCCCAUGUCUUAAUCGUAGCCUGCUUAGGCACCGAGUUCGAGUCUCGGCCACAGCA